RNAcentral lists this ribosomal RNA (505 nucleotides) under uncultured bacterium. Its description in RNAcentral is "partial 16S ribosomal RNA". It matches the Rfam family "Bacterial small subunit ribosomal RNA", at positions 29 to 523 of the family's 1533-position model. The record is from RNAcentral.
AGUGAACGCUGGCGGUAGGCCUAACACAUGCAAGUCGAACGGCAGCACAGGAGAGCUUGCUCUCUGGGUGGCGAGUGGCAGACGGGUGAGGAAUACAUCGGAAUCUACUCUGUCGUGGGGGUAACGUAGGGAAACUUACGCUAAUACCGCAUACGACCUACGGGUGAAAGCAGGGGACCUUCGGGCCUUGCGCGAUUGAAUGAGCCGAUGUCGGAUUAGCUAGUUGGCGGGGUAAAGGCCCACCAAGGCGACGAUCCGUAGCUGGUCUGAGAGGAUGAUCAGCCACACUGGAACUGGGACACGGUCCAGACUCCUACGGGAGGCAGCAGUGGGGAAUAUUGGACAAUGGGCGCAAGCCUGAUCCAGCCAUACCGCGUGGGUGAAGAAGGCCUUCGGGUUGUAAAGCCCUUUUGUUGGGAAAGAGAUCCAGCUGGCUAAUACCCGGUUGGGAUGACGGUACCCAAAGAAUAAGCACCGGCUAACUUCGUGCCAGCAGCCGCAGUAA